This 217-nucleotide long non-coding RNA is filed under the name Elaeis guineensis (African oil palm). RNAcentral's name for it is "long non-coding RNA (EGUI_LNC039093)". The record is from RNAcentral. Lineage: Eukaryota; Viridiplantae; Streptophyta; Magnoliopsida; Arecales; Arecaceae.
AAUUUACAUCUCUUUCUUGGAGUCGAUGUCUUACAUCACCUCGUUGUAGAUUCUGGGAUCAUCUUUAUGUUCUCUAUCUCCCAUGAGAAAUGACUUUCUCUACAUCCUCUGUUAAGUAUACCCAAGUACCUUUCGAGGAAAUUGGAGAUCCUACUAUAUGUUUGAGGUGGAAGAGGAAUAUCUACUGGCUCAUGAUGAAUAGGUUCUUAAGGUCCCA